AGCCCUAUCACCCGGAAGAAGAACAUUGCGCCCCAGGUAGCGGAUCAAUUGACAUCACUCCCUUUUUGGGAAGGUAGCGGAUCAAUAGGACCAAUCUCAGGUCGGGAAGUGCUUGGUUUGAGCCCUGCCGUGCCAACUGGGCGUAGUUGGGAGUCAGCUCGGUCUCUUAGAAUGACCACCGUUGCUUGUGUCUUCGCCUUCUUGCCAGACGUCCCAGCAGCAGCGGCUGCAGACC
RNAcentral lists this unclassified non-coding RNA (235 nucleotides) under Hevea brasiliensis (rubber tree). The record is from RNAcentral. Lineage: Eukaryota; Viridiplantae; Streptophyta; Magnoliopsida; Malpighiales; Euphorbiaceae.